CUCAUAAAACAAUAUUUUAAGAACACUACAUAAAUAAUUUUUUACAACGUAAAAGCAAAAUAAAUUCAUAUAUAUUGUAAUACAGAUAAUCAAAGUAUAAAAUUAAAUUUGCAGUGACACGUGAGCCCACGAAUGACCAAAAGUAUCUAGAGAGAUAAACCUACAUAUUUUGAUGAUGCUAGUCCAAUUGUAAUCCUCGAAGAAAUGAGCUAUCUACCGACUAUCCUGAGCCUGAAAUGGAUGGAAAGGAGGGUGGUGAGAUUAUAUAAUCCCAGUGAGUAAACAAAUAUCAUUUAAAAUAUCUAAAGGCGAGUACAAGGAGACUAUUAAAACAUUUCAUUUAAUUGUAAUUUAUCAUCUUUCGACUUAUUUCAACCAAAUGAAAUCAAUUUAUUUAAAUCAAGUAAUCAAUAUGGCUUAUGAACUUCUUAAAACUUUGGCUCGUGCCAAAAUCAUUAUCAUACUUAGUUAUCAGGGAUACCUUGAUCGAGGGCUAUCCCAACCGAGUUCUCCAAGGCUGUUAAAAAGUUUUG
RNAcentral lists this long non-coding RNA (533 nucleotides) under Theobroma cacao (cacao). Its description in RNAcentral is "long non-coding RNA (TCAC_LNC003725)". The record is from RNAcentral. Lineage: Eukaryota; Viridiplantae; Streptophyta; Magnoliopsida; Malvales; Malvaceae.